This 254-nucleotide ribosomal RNA is filed under the name uncultured bacterium. RNAcentral describes it as "partial 16S ribosomal RNA". It matches the Rfam family "Bacterial small subunit ribosomal RNA", at positions 524 to 776 of the family's 1533-position model. The record is from RNAcentral.
UACGUAGGAGCGACAGCUGUUCGUCGAAUUAUUGGGCGUAAAGAGCUCGUAGGCGGUCUGUCGCGUCCGUUGUGAAAACUCGAGGCUCAACCUCGGGCUUGCAGUGGAUACGGGCAGACUAGAGUGCGGUAGGGGAGACUGGAAUUCCUGGUGUAGCGGUGGAAUGCGCAGAUAUCAGGAGGAACACCGAUGGCGAAGGCAGGUCUCUGGGCCACUACUGACGCUGAGAAGCGAAAGCAUGGGGAGCGAACAGG